GAUGAACGCUGGCGGCGUGCCUAAUACAUGCAAGUCGAGCGAACGGACGAGAAGCUUGCUUCUCUGAUGUUAGCGGCGGACGGGUGAGUAACACGUGGAUAACCUACCUAUAAGACUGGGAUAACUUCGGGAAACCGGAGCUAAUACCGGAUGAUAUUUUGAACCGCAUGGUUCAAAAGUGAAAGACGGUCUUGCUGUCACUUAUAGAUGGAUCCGCGCUGCAUUAGCUAGUUGGUAAGGUAACGGCUUACCAAGGCAACGAUGCAUAGCCGACCUGAGAGGGUGAUCGGCCGCACUGGAACUGAGACACGGUCCAGACUCCUACGGGGGGCAGCAGUAGGGAAUCUUCCGCAAUGGGCGAAAGCCUGACGGAGCAACGCCGCGUGAGUGAUGAAGGUCUUCGGAUCGUAAAACUCUGUUAUUAGGGAAGAACAUAUGUGUAAGUAACUGUGCACAUCUUGACGGUACCUAAUCAGAAAGCCACGGCUAACUACGUG
Molecule: ribosomal RNA, 497 nt
Filed under: uncultured bacterium
Lineage: Bacteria
Description: partial 16S ribosomal RNA
Rfam family: Bacterial small subunit ribosomal RNA
Source: RNAcentral